RNAcentral lists this ribosomal RNA (729 nucleotides) under uncultured archaeon. RNAcentral's name for it is "bacterial SSU rRNA". It matches the Rfam family "Archaeal small subunit ribosomal RNA", at positions 581 to 1306 of the family's 1478-position model. The record is from RNAcentral.
AUACUGCUGAGCUAGGGACCGGGAGAGGCCGAGGGUAUUCCCGGGGUAGGGGUGAAAUCCUGUAAUCCCGGGAGGACCACCUGUGGCGAAGGCGCUCGGCUGGAACGGGUCCGACGGUGAGGGACGAAGGCCUGGGGAGCGAACCGGAUUAGAUACCCGGGUAGUCCAGGCUGUAAACGAUGCGGGCUAGGUGUCACCGGAGCUACGAGCUCCGGUGGUGCCGGAGGGAAGCCGUUAAGCCCGCCGCCUGGGAAGUACGGCCGCAAGGCUGAAACUUAAAGGAAUUGGCGGGGGAGCACUACAACGGGUGGAGCCUGCGGUUUAAUUGGAUUCAACGCCGGGAAGCUUACCGGGGGAGACAGCGGGAUGAAGGUCGGGCUGAAGACCUUACCAGACUAGCUGAGAGGUGGUGCAUGGCCGCCGUCAGUUCGUACUGUGAAACAUCCUGUUAAGUCAGGCAACGAGCGGGACCCGCGCCCUCAGUUGCCAGCGGGUCCCUUUCGGGGACGCCGGGCACACUGAGGGGACUGCCGGCGCUAAGCCGGAGGAAGGUGCGGGCAACGGCAGGUCCGUAUGCCCCGAAUCCCCCGGGCUACACGCGGGCUACAAUGGCCGGGACAAUGGGUACCGACCCCGAAAGGGGUGGGUAAUCUCCUAAACCCGGUCUAACCUGGGAUCGAGGGCUGCAACUCGCCCUCGUGAACCUGGAAUCCGUAGUAAUCGCGUCUC